AGAGCUGUGUGUCGCCGGGCCGAGCGCUGCGUGGCUCCUAUAGUGCGUUCAGGUGAGGCCGAUCCCGAUGUCAGCAAAUAUCUCAACAGGUUGAGUGAUUACCUGUUCACACUGGCCAGAUACACAGCUAUGAAAGAAGGAAACAUGGAGAGGAUCUACAGGAGACCUGAAUGAACUUCCACAAAAUCAGAAAUAAACUUUCUUUUAACAAAAUCAUUUGGUUCCUCCAGAUGUUUAUCUAAAUCGCAUUUAUCUCGACUCUGUGCUGAAAACUUCUCUCUCCCUCCUGACACUAACACUAGGUGGCGCUUUAACACUGGGUUUGAAUCACACUGAAUUAUGUGCACGUUUACUGUAUGAACAUUUCCUGCUAAAUUCUGAUCUCUGACACUGAAACACGACAUUGUUAUUAAGACUAAACUUCACUGGCUGUAGAGUUUCACUGAGAUUGUGCGAGUGAUGGUUUUGUGUAGAUUUGUCACGCUUAAAGUUUUAACUGAUUUAAACUGUUCACCACAAACACGUACACUAACAGAGAACCCAGUCACACUCCACUGUACACAAACAGAGAACCCAGUCACACACCACUGUACACAAACAGAGAACCAGACACACACCACUGUACACAAACAGAGAACCCGUCACACACCACUGUACACAAACAGAGAACCAGUCACACACCACUGUACACAAACAGAGAACCAGUCACACACCACUGUACACAAACAGAGAACCCGUCACACACCACUGUACACAAACAGAGUACCCGGUCACACACCACUGUACACAAACAGAGAACCAGUCACACACCACUGUACACAAACAGAGAACCUGUCACACACCACUGUACACAAACAGAGAACCCGGUCACACACCACUGUACACAAACAGAGAACCAGACACACACCACUGUACACAAACAGAGAACCCGGUCACACACCACUGUACACAAACAGAGAACCCGGUCACACACCACUGUACACAAACAGAGAACCCGGUCACACACCACUGUACACAAACAGAGAACCAGUCACACACCACUGUACACAAACAGAGAACCCGGUCACACACCACUGUACACAAACAGAGAACCAGACACACACCACUGUACACAAACAGAGAACCUGUCACACACCACUGUACACAAACAGAGAACCCAGACACACACCACUGUACACAAACAGAGAACCAGACACACACCACUGUACACAAACAGAGAACCCGGUCACACACCACUGUACACAAACAGAGAACCCGUCACACACCACUGUACACAAACAGAGAACCAGUCACACACCACUGUACACAAACAGA
Molecule: long non-coding RNA, 1314 nt
Organism: Ictalurus furcatus (blue catfish)
Lineage: Eukaryota; Metazoa; Chordata; Actinopteri; Siluriformes; Ictaluridae
Exons: 3
Source: RefSeq, a predicted model, not a curated record